RNAcentral lists this ribosomal RNA (465 nucleotides) under uncultured bacterium. RNAcentral describes it as "bacterial SSU rRNA". It matches the Rfam family "Bacterial small subunit ribosomal RNA", at positions 1 to 507 of the family's 1533-position model. The record is from RNAcentral.
GUACACGAGUUUGAUCAUGGCUCAGGAUGAACGCUGGCGGUAUGCCUAACACAUGCAAGUCGUACGAGAGUUUUUAACUCUAGUGGCGGACGGGUGAGUAACACGUGAGAAUUUGCAUUUAGGAGGGGGACAACAAUCGGAAACGAAUGCUAAUACCCCAUAUGCUUUCGAGUGAAAUGGAUUUUAUCCGCCUAGAGAGAAGCUCGCGGCUGAUUAGCUUGUUGGUAAGGUAAGAGCUUACCAAGGCGACGAUCAGUAUCUGGUUUGAGAGGACGAUCAGACACACUGGAACUGAGACACGGUCCAGACUCCUACGGGAGGCAGCAGUGGGGAAUUUUCCGCAAUGGGCGAAAGCCUGACGGAGCAAUACCGCGUGAGGGAAGACUGCCUAUGGGUUGUAAACCUCUUUUUCAGGGAGGAAUAAAAUGACGUGUACCUGAAGAAUAAGCAUCGGCUAACUCCGUG